AGUAGGGUCAGCUAAUUAAGCUAUUGGGCCCAUACCCCAAAAAUGAUGGUUUGACUCCUUCCCCUACUA
RNAcentral lists this transfer RNA (69 nucleotides) under Nyctibius grandis. Its description in RNAcentral is "tRNA-Met". It matches the Rfam family "tRNA". Rfam says of the family: Transfer RNA (tRNA) molecules are approximately 80 nucleotides in length. Their secondary structure includes four short double-helical elements and three loops (D, anti-codon, and T loops). Further hydrogen bonds mediate the characteristic L-shaped molecular structure. tRNAs have two regions of fundamental functional importance: the anti-codon, which is responsible for specific mRNA codon recognition, and the 3' end, to which the tRNAs corresponding amino acid is attached (by aminoacyl-tRNA synthetases). tRNAs cope with the degeneracy of the genetic code in two manners: having more than one tRNA (with a specific anti-codon) for a particular amino acid; and 'wobble' base-pairing, i.e. permitting non-standard base-pairing at the 3rd anti-codon position. Lineage: Eukaryota; Metazoa; Chordata; Aves; Nyctibiiformes; Nyctibiidae. RNAcentral also lists the same sequence under 1 other name. The record is from RNAcentral.